This is an RNA transcript of Triticum aestivum (bread wheat), 2120 nucleotides long. It is a transcript of the gene named rRNA 2'-O-methyltransferase fibrillarin 1, with no coding region annotated. The transcript has 3 exons. NCBI's taxonomy places the organism in Eukaryota, Viridiplantae, Streptophyta, Magnoliopsida, Poales, Poaceae. The record is from RefSeq and is a predicted model, not a curated record.
CCCAUACCCUAGUAGCCCGCGACACACUCUCCUCGCUCGAUCCCCUUUGUCCUUCCACGCGCCGCCACCUCUCUCUCUUCCUCUCUCCGAUCCAGAUCGAAGAUGGCGGCUACCGCCGAUGGGAUCCCACUGCAUCACUAUCCCGCCCUCCACCCCACCACAUCGUCUCCCACCGUCCACCCACACUGGCCAUUUCACUCUCUCUUUGUCUCUCGCAACCAAUCCAGAUCCAGAUCCGCAGCGGCCGUCGCCAACAUCUCGGGGCCCUCCGAUCCCACCCCUCCCUUCUGACCCCGAGGCUGCUGGCCAAUGCCUACGGCGGCAAGGGCGGCGCCUACUACGAGUGGAGCCUCGCGGAGCUGCCCAUGCUCGGCGUUGCCUCCAUCGAAUGCCAUGGCAGACGCAGCUGGGCAUCGCGCUGGACUGCGCCCGCCCAUCGCCAGCAGCACAACCCGCCCUCUCCCUCCCAUUGACCCACCUACCAGCGCCUCCAGCAUGGAGCUCCGCCUCUGCCUCCACCUCCACCCGCACGCGCGGCCCCCUUCCGCCCCGACGCCGCCUCCAUGCCCUGUGGCCGUGCUGCUUCCCGCGUCCUGCCGCGGCCGCCGACUGCGGAUUGGAUUGGUAAAGGACUGCUCCUGUUGCGCCCUCUCUCUCGGUUUGACUCUCUCUCUAUCUUUCUGCUGGCGCCGCUGGAUUAGAGGGUGGAGCCUGAGCCUCCGCUGGAGCAGGGAUCAGACAUUUGUUUGAUCCCAGGCAUCUUCGAGGGCAUCAACGUGACUGUGUUUGCUUAUGGAGCGACGGACAGCGGCAAGACCUACACCAUGCAGUUGCUUCAAGUUAAAAGCGCAUGAAGGGCAGGAGAGCGGGAAGGGGAGGACCAGGCAUGAAGGGCGGGGCCAAGGUGGUUGUCAUGCCACACAAGCACGACAUCGUCUUCAUCGCCAAGGCCAAGGAGGACGCACUCUGCACCAAGAACAUGGUCGCCGGCGAGUCUGUCUACAGCGAGAAGAGGUUCUCCGUCCAGUUCAGUGCACUCUAGCUGCUCCUUCUCGGUUGCCUCUCAUGUUUAUGCGCAAUUCCAAACAAAUUCUAUGGGGUAAUCAGCUUAGACUCGGCUAUUGUUAGUUCCUAGAGGAGCAAAUGAUACGCUUAUUUUCAGUAAUUUUUAGAUAUAUUAUGGGGAAUCUAGUGCUACUGCUGUCAGUCCCUACUCCCUAGUGCUACUGCUCUAAAUUGACUUGGCGUUGCACUGCUUGCCAAAUUGAUUUGCUUUCUUGCUGCCACAAAAAGUCAGUACUCCCUAGUGUUGAAUCAGUAUUUACAUGCUUGCAAAUAUUGGUCUGAAUCUGCCAUGCUCCCUAAAGUUGACUAAAUCUCAUGGAAUAGAUUAUGUGUCCUUACUUCUUUUACUGUUUUGUUCAUAAUAUAUUGGCUCUAGAUUUUUUGAUUCUUCUCUUCUGAUUCAUGUAACAGCUACCUUGCCUGGCGCUGGUACUAUUAUCCUAUACUAUUUUACUAUCUGUAUGCUCUUCACUGCCCCUGGAAGGUAAAUGACAACAUUGAAAAUGGCUCAAACCCGAAGUACUUUAAAUAGAUUGUCAUUUCAGUCAAAUGUUGUUUAGAAAUCCAGUUUGUACUGAUAAACUUGCACCGUUUCUGCCUAUUUAUAAUGUUAAGUUUUGUUUGAUAAAGCACAACACAGUCUCUACCUUUUGUUAUACUGAUAAUUUUUGUUUAGUUGUAAUUCCUUUCGUAUUGUACAAUUGUAUAGAUACUGUCCCAUGCACAAGUGAUAUUCGGCCAAAUGAUAUCUUGUGCUUUCCAAAGUGAUUUGUACCCAACUGCUUGUAUAUGUAUUUUGUUCUUAACUGUAGAUUUCCUCUCACAGUACCUCCAUGCAAAAUAAGGUUGAACGGAGGAGAGUUUGUGACUGCUAUAGAAGGAUUGAAGGAGGUCCAUGUUGAAGAAGAUCGACAGAAGCAAUAGAGCUUGUAAUAUUGUCAUUGCCAUUGUAUUUGUGUUGUAUGAUGUAUCCACGUUUACCCACAAAAAAUGUAUUCACGUUGUAAUAUUGUGAUUGCCAUUCUGGCUACUAUUUCAAGUAGUGUAUUUUGCUA